UUUAAUUUAAUUAAAUUUUGAAAUAUAUAAUCGGAGAAAAGAUGUUCAAAGCGGGACGAUAAAUGAUUCACCGCUUUUGUGGGAUAAUUUUGGAAGAUGGUGAAUUAUUCACGUUAAUAUGAAGGUGGUGAACAAUUCACAGUCUUUAAAAAAAAUUUCACCGUGGCUUCUAUAUGGCAAAGAAGAAUUAGUUUGCCAAUUUAUUUUUUCAAAGAAUUAUUUAUCCAAUUAUAAACUGUGGCCAAUUUGCAUAAUAAAUCCACUAGUUUUGGACUUUUGCAAAAGUGGGUCACCUUUUUCGUUUUUGCAGAUUCGGUCCGAUUUUUCAGCAAACUGACCAAAAUAUCCUUAUACCUUUUUCUCUCACCUUUUUUUUUUUUUCUCUCGUUCUUUUUUUCUCUCUUCCCAGAGAGCGGCGGAGGCAGCGGCGGAAGCGGAGGCAGAGGCGGAAGCGGAGGUGGCCCACUUCAGUUUUGUCUUGCACAUCCUAACUCUCGCCCGCACACCCCCUGCUUUCCACGCCUCCGACCACGCCGAGGUCGCGCUGCAACAUUUUUUUUUCCCCUCUCCGACCCACCUCCACCACCUCCGACGACUGCGCCUAUCUCACCCUCUCUCGCCUUCUCGCCCUUUCCCUCUCCCUCCUCCUUCGCCUCCUCUGCCGCCUCCGACGACGACGCCUCUCCGCCGGCAUCGGCGCUGCAAAGGUCGCUGCGGCGCCGCAGCCUCGGAGCGGAGGGUCUUUACCGGCGUCGUCGUCGACGCCGUGGCCGUUGGCGGAGAGGCGUGACAAAAAAAAUAUAUAGAAGAGAAAGAAAAAAAAAUAAAGAAAAAAAAUUAUGUAAGAAAGAAGAAAAUGAUGAAAUUGUACUGUUAAAAUAAGAUUAUACUGUUUUAAAAUAAAUUUGCACUGUUUUAAUGAAAAUUGCACUAUUUGAUAUAGAAAUUACACUCUUUUAGAAUGGAUUUUGCACUCUUAAGGCUAACGUUACACUAUUUAACAGAAUUUUGCACCAUUUCUUUUUCAUUUCUUUUUCUCUUUCACUUCUUCUUUUUCUUCCGCUGCUGCCUCUCGCCCGGCCCGUGAAGAUGCGGUGGGGGCUAUCGCCGAGCUCGAGGAGGCUCUUGACUGUAAAAACGAAAAAGGUGGCCCACUUUUGUAAACGCCCAAAACUAGUGGAUUUUUUAUACAAAUUGGCCAUAAAUUUUUAUAGGAUCAUUUCAAAUAAAAUCCAAAUUAGAUUAUAAUU
This 1250-nucleotide long non-coding RNA is filed under the name Ananas comosus (pineapple). Its description in RNAcentral is "long non-coding RNA (ACOM_LNC020838)". The record is from RNAcentral. Lineage: Eukaryota; Viridiplantae; Streptophyta; Magnoliopsida; Poales; Bromeliaceae.